GNUUUUGGAACUGCGGAAGGAUCAUUG
Molecule: ribosomal RNA, 27 nt
Filed under: Homaliodendron papillosum
Lineage: Eukaryota; Viridiplantae; Streptophyta; Bryopsida; Hypnales; Neckeraceae
Description: partial 18S ribosomal RNA
Source: RNAcentral